This 254-nucleotide ribosomal RNA is filed under the name uncultured bacterium. Its description in RNAcentral is "partial 16S ribosomal RNA". It matches the Rfam family "Bacterial small subunit ribosomal RNA", at positions 524 to 776 of the family's 1533-position model. The record is from RNAcentral.
CACGUAGGGGGCAAGCGUUGUCCGGAUUUAUUGGGCGUAAAGAGCUCGUAGGUGGUUCGGUAAGUCGGGUGUGAAACCUCCAGGCUCAACCUGGAGACGCCACCCGAUACUGCUGUGACUGGAGUCCGGUAGGGGAGCGUGGAAUUCCUGGUGUAGCGGUGAAAUGCGCAGAUAUCAGGAGGAACACCGGUGGCGAAGGCGGGUCUCUGGGCCGAUAUUGACGCUGAGGAGCGAAAGCGUGGGGAGCGAACAGG